GGGUUGUGAGGUUAAGCGACUAAGCGUACACGGUGGAUGCCCUGGCAGUCAGAGGCGAUGAAGGACGUGCUAAUCUGCGAAAAGCGCCGGCGAGGUGAUAUGAACCCUUGACCCGGCGAUGUCCGAAUGGGGAAACCCAGUGCAAUCCGUUGCACUAUCGUUAACUGAAUACAUAGGUUAACGAGGCGAACCGGGGGAACUGAAACAUCUAAGUACCCCGAGGAAAAGAAAUCAACCGAGAUUCCCCCAGUAGCGGCGAGCGAACGGGGAGCAGCCCGGAGUCUGAAUCAGCUUGUGUGUUAGUGGAACGGUCUGGAAAGUCCGACGGUACAGGGUGAUAGUCCCGUACACGAAAGCACACAUGCUGUGAACUCGAAGAGUAGGGCGGGACACGUGGUAUCCUGUCUGAAUAUGGGGGGACCAUCCUCCAAGGCUAAAUACUCCUGACUGACCGAUAGUGAACCAGUACCGUGAGGGAAAGGCGAAAAGAACCCCGGCGAGGGGAGUGAAAAAGAACCUGAAACCGUGUACGUACAAGCAGUGGGAGCCUCUUUAUGGGGUGACUGCGUACCUUUUGUAUAAUGGGUCAGCGACUUAUAUUCUGUAGCAAGGUUAACCGUAUAGGGGAGCCGAAGGGAAACCGAGUCUUAACUGGGCGUUAAGUUGCAGGGUAUAGACCCGAAACCCGGUGAUCUAGCCAUGGGCAGGUUGAAGGUUGGGUAACACUAACUGGAGGACCGAACCGACUAAUGUUGAAAAAUUAGCGGAUGACCUGUGGCUGGGGGUGAAAGGCCAAUCAAACCGGGAGAUAGCUGGUUCUCCCCGAAAGCUAUUUAGGUAGCGCCUCGUGAACUCAUCUUCGGGGGUAGAGCACUGUUUCGGCUAGGGGGCCAUCCCGGCUUACCAACCCGAUGCAAACUACGAAUACCGAAGAAUGUUAUCACGGGAGACACACGGCGGGUGCUAACGUCCGUCGUGAAGAGGGAAACAACCCAGACCGCCAGCUAAGGUCCCAAAGUCAUGGUUAAGUGGGAAACGAUGUGGGAAGGCACAGACAGCCAGGAUGUUGGCUUAGAAGCAGCCAUCAUUUAAAGAAAGCGUAAUAGCUCACUGGUCGAGUCGGCCUGCGCGGAAGAUGUAACGGGGCUAAACCAUGCACCGAAGCUGCGGCAGCGACACUUAUGUGUUGUUGGGUAGGGGAGCGUUCUGUAAGCCGUUGAAGGUGUGCUGUGAGGCAUGCUGGAGGUAUCAGAAGUGCGAAUGCUGACAUAAGUAACGAUAAAGCGGGUGAAAAGCCCGCUCGCCGGAAGACCAAGGGUUCCUGUCCAACGUUAAUCGGGGCAGGGUGAGUCGACCCCUAAGGCGAGGCCGAAAGGCGUAGUCGAUGGGAAACAGGUUAAUAUUCCUGUACUUGGUGUUACUGCGAAGGGGGGACGGAGAAGGCUAUGUCAGCCGGGCGACGGUUGUCCCGGUUUAAGCAUGUAGGCGGAGGUUCCAGGUAAAUCCGGUACCUUAUUAACGCUGAGGUGUGAUGACGAGGCACUACGGUGCUGAAGUGAUAAAUGCCCUGCUUCCAGGAAAAGCCUCUAAGCAUCAGGUAACACGAAAUCGUACCCCAAACCGACACAGGUGGUCAGGUAGAGAAUACCAAGGCGCUUGAGAGAACUCGGGUGAAGGAACUAGGCAAAAUGGUGCCGUAACUUCGGGAGAAGGCACGCUGAUGUGUAGGUGAAGCCCCUGCGGGCGGAGCUGAAAUCAGUCGAAGAUACCAGCUGGCUGCAACUGUUUAUUAAAAACACAGCACUGUGCAAACACGAAAGUGGACGUAUACGGUGUGACGCCUGCCCGGUGCCGGAAGGUUAAUUGAUGGGGUUAGCGGCAACGCGAAGCUCUUGAUCGAAGCCCCGGUAAACGGCGGCCGUAACUAUAACGGUCCUAAGGUAGCGAAAUUCCUUGUCGGGUAAGUUCCGACCUGCACGAAUGGCGUAAUGAUGGCCAGGCUGUCUCCACCCGAGACUCAGUGAAAUUGAACUCGCUGUGAAGAUGCAGUGUACCCGCGGCAAGACGGAAAGACCCCGUGAACCUUUACUAUAGCUUGACACUGAACACUGGUCCUUGAUGUGUAGGAUAGGUGGGAGGCUUUGAAGCGUGGACGCCAGUCUGCGUGGAGCCAACCUUGAAAUACCACCCUUUAAUGGCUGGUGUUCUAACGUAGACCCGUAAUCCGGGUUGCGGACAGUGUCUGGUGGGUAGUUUGACUGGGGCGGUCUCCUCCCAAAGAGUAACGGAGGAGCACGAAGGUUGGCUAAUCCUGGUCGGACAUCAGGAGGUUAGUGCAAUGGCAUAAGCCAGCUUGACUGCGAGCGUGACGGCGCGAGCAGGUGCGAAAGCAGGUCAUAGUGAUCCGGUGGUUCUGAAUGGAAGGGCCAUCGCUCAACGGAUAAAAGGUACUCCGGGGAUAACAGGCUGAUACCGCCCAAGAGUUCAUAUCGACGGCGGUGUUUGGCACCUCGAUGUCGGCUCAUCACAUCCUGGGGCUGAAGUAGGUCCCAAGGGUAUGGCUGUUCGCCAUUUAAAGUGGUACGCGAGCUGGGUUUAGAACGUCGUGAGACAGUUCGGUCCCUAUCUGCCGUGGGCGCUGGAGAAUUGAGGGGGGCUGCUCCUAGUACGAGAGGACCGGAGUGGACGCAUCACUGGUGUUCGGGUUGUCAUGCCAAUGGCACUGCCCGGUAGCUAAAUGCGGAAGAGAUAAGUGCUGAAAGCAUCUAAGCACGAAACUUGCCCCGAGAUGAGUUCUCCCUGAGACCUUGAGUCUCCUGAAGGAACGUUGAAGACGACGACGUUGAUAGGUCGGGUGUGUAAGCGCAGCGAUGCGUUGAGCUAACCGAUACUAAUGAACCGUGA
Molecule: ribosomal RNA, 2904 nt
Filed under: Enterobacter hormaechei subsp. xiangfangensis
Lineage: Bacteria; Pseudomonadati; Pseudomonadota; Gammaproteobacteria; Enterobacterales; Enterobacteriaceae
Description: bacterial LSU rRNA
Rfam family: Bacterial large subunit ribosomal RNA
Source: RNAcentral